Molecule: ribosomal RNA, 253 nt
Filed under: uncultured bacterium
Lineage: Bacteria
Description: partial 16S ribosomal RNA
Rfam family: Bacterial small subunit ribosomal RNA
Source: RNAcentral
UACGAAGGGAGCUAGCGUUGUUCGGAAUCACUGGGCGUAAAGCGCACGUAGGCGGACGUGUCAGUCAGGGGUGAAAUCCCGGAGCUCAACUUCGGAACUGCCUUUGAUACAGCACGUCUUGAGUCCGGAAGAGGUGGGUGGAAUUCCUAGUGUAGAGGUGAAAUUCGUAGAUAUUAGGAAGAACACCGGUGGCGAAGGCGGCCCACUGGUCCGGUACUGACGCUGAGGUGCGAAAGCGUGGGGAGCAAACAGG